GGUUAAGCGACUAAGCGUACACGGUGGAUGCCCUGGCAGUCAGAGGCGAUGAAGGACGUGCUAAUCUGCGAAAAGCGUCGGUAAGGUGAUAUGAACCGUUAUAACCGGCGAUGUCCGAAUGGGGAAACCCAGUGCAAUUCGUUGCACUAUCGUUAACUGAAUACAUAUGUUAACGAGGCGAACCGGGGGAACUGAAACAUCUAAGUACCCCGAGGAAAAGAAAUCAACCGAGAUUCCCCCAGUAGCGGCGAGCGAACGGGGAGCAGCCCAGAGUCUGAAUCAGCUUGUGUGUUAGUGGAACGGUCUGGAAAGUCCGACGGUACAGGGUGAUAGUCCCGUACACCAAAAUGCACAGGCUGUGAACUCGAAGAGUAGGGCGGGACACGUGGUAUCCUGUCUGAAUAUGGGGGGACCAUCCUCCAAGGCUAAAUACUCCUGACUGACCGAUAGUGAACCAGUACCGUGAGGGAAAGGCGAAAAGAACCCCGGCGAGGGGAGUGAAAAAGAACCUGAAACCGUGUACGUACAAGCAGUGGGAGCACCUUCGGGUGUGACUGCGUACCUUUUGUAUAAUGGGUCAGCGACUUAUAUUCUGUAGCAAGGUUAACCGUAUAGGGGAGCCGCAGGGAAACCGAGUCUUAACUGGGCGUUAAGUUGCAGGGUAUAGACCCGAAACCCGGUGAUCUAGCCAUGGGCAGGUUGAAGGUUGGGUAACACUAACUGGAGGACCGAACCGACUAAUGUUGAAAAAUUAGCGGAUGACUUGUGGCUGGGGGUGAAAGGCCAAUCAAACCGGGAGAUAGCUGGUUCUCCCCGAAAGCUAUUUAGGUAGCGCCUCGUGAAUUCAUCUUCGGGGGUAGAGCACUGUUUCGGCUAGGGGGUCAUCCCGACUUACCAACCCGAUGCAAACUACGAAUACCGAAGAAUGUUAUCACGGGAGACACACGGCGGGUGCUAACGUCCGUCGUGAAGAGGGAAACAACCCAGACCGCCAGCUAAGGUCCCAAAGUCAUGGUUAAGUGGGAAACGAUGUGGGAAGGCACAGACAGCCAGGAUGUUGGCUUAGAAGCAGCCAUCAUUUAAAGAAAGCGUAAUAGCUCACUGGUCGAGUCGGCCUGCGCGGAAGAUGUAACGGGGCUAAACCAUGCACCGAAGCUGCGGCAGCGACACUAUGUGUUGUUGGGUAGGGGAGCGUUCUGUAAGCCUGCGAAGGUGUGCUGUGAGGCAUGCUGGAGGUAUCAGAAGUGCGAAUGCUGACAUAAGUAACGAUAAAGCGGGUGAAAAGCCCGCUCGCCGGAAGACCAAGGGUUCCUGUCCAACGUUAAUCGGGGCAGGGUGAGUCGACCCCUAAGGCGAGGCCGAAAGGCGUAGUCGAUGGGAAACAGGUUAAUAUUCCUGUACUUGGUGUUACUGCGAAGGGGGGACGGAGAAGGCUAUGUUAGCCGGGCGACGGUUGUCCCGGUUUAAGCAUGUAGGCUGAUUGUCCAGGCAAAUCCGGAUAAUCAAGGCUGAGGUGUGAUGACGAGGCACUACGGUGCUGAAGUAACAAAUGCCCUGCUUCCAGGAAAAGCCUCUAAGCAUCAGGUAACAUUAAAUCGUACCCCAAACCGACACAGGUGGUCAGGUAGAGAAUACCAAGGCGCUUGAGAGAACUCGGGUGAAGGAACUAGGCAAAAUGGUGCCGUAACUUCGGGAGAAGGCACGCUGGUGUGUAGGUGAAGUCCCUGCGGAUGGAGCUGAGACCAGUCGAAGAUACCAGCUGGCUGCAACUGUUUAUUAAAAACACAGCACUGUGCAAACACGAAAGUGGACGUAUACGGUGUGACGCCUGCCCGGUGCCGGAAGGUUAAUUGAUGGGGUUAUCCGUAAGGAGAAGCUCUUGAUCGAAGCCCCGGUAAACGGCGGCCGUAACUAUAACGGUCCUAAGGUAGCGAAAUUCCUUGUCGGGUAAGUUCCGACCUGCACGAAUGGCGUAAUGAUGGCCAGGCUGUCUCCACCCGAGACUCAGUGAAAUUGAACUCGCUGUGAAGAUGCAGUGUACCCGCGGCAAGACGGAAAGACCCCGUGAACCUUUACUAUAGCUUGACACUGAACAUUGAGCCUUGAUGUGUAGGAUAGGUGGGAGGCUUUGAAGCGUGGACGCCAGUCUGCGUGGAGCCAACCUUGAAAUACCACCCUUUAAUGUUUGAUGUUCUAACGUUGGCCCCUGACCGGGGUUGCGGACAGUGUCUGGUGGGUAGUUUGACUGGGGCGGUCUCCUCCCAAAGCGUAACGGAGGAGCACGAAGGUUAGCUAAUCCUGGUCGGACAUCAGGAGGUUAGUGCAAUGGCAUAAGCUAGCUUGACUGCGAGCGUGACGGCGCGAGCAGGUGCGAAAGCAGGUCAUAGUGAUCCGGUGGUUCUGAAUGGAAGGGCCAUCGCUCAACGGAUAAAAGGUACUCCGGGGAUAACAGGCUGAUACCGCCCAAGAGUUCAUAUCGACGGCGGUGUUUGGCACCUCGAUGUCGGCUCAUCACAUCCUGGGGCUGAAGUAGGUCCCAAGGGUAUGGCUGUUCGCCAUUUAAAGUGGUACGCGAGCUGGGUUUAGAACGUCGUGAGACAGUUCGGUCCCUAUCUGCCGUGGGCGCUGGAGAAUUGAGGGGGGCUGCUCCUAGUACGAGAGGACCGGAGUGGACGCAUCACUGGUGUUCGGGUUGUCAUGCCAAUGGCACUGCCCGGUAGCUAAAUGCGGAAGAGAUAAGUGCUGAAAGCAUCUAAGCACGAAACUUGCCCCGAGAUGAGUUCUCCCUGAGACUUUAAGUCUCCUGAAGGAACGUUAAAGACGAUGACGUUGAUAGGCCGGGUGUGUAAGCGCAGCGAUGCGUUGAGCUAACCGGUACUAAUGAACCGUGAGGCUUAACCUU
This 2902-nucleotide ribosomal RNA is filed under the name Klebsiella pneumoniae. Its description in RNAcentral is "23S ribosomal RNA". It matches the Rfam family "Bacterial large subunit ribosomal RNA". Lineage: Bacteria; Pseudomonadati; Pseudomonadota; Gammaproteobacteria; Enterobacterales; Enterobacteriaceae. The record is from RNAcentral.